This 253-nucleotide ribosomal RNA is filed under the name uncultured bacterium. RNAcentral's name for it is "partial 16S ribosomal RNA". It matches the Rfam family "Bacterial small subunit ribosomal RNA", at positions 524 to 776 of the family's 1533-position model. The record is from RNAcentral.
UACGAAGGGUGCAAGCGUUAAUCGGAAUUACUGGGCGUAAAGCGCGCGUAGGUGGUUCGUUAAGUUGGAUGUGAAAGCCCCGGGCUCAACCUGGGAACUGCAUCCAAAACUGGCGAGCUAGAGUACGGUAGAGGGUGGUGGAAUUUCCUGUGUAGCGGUGAAAUGCGUAGAUAUAGGAAGGAACACCAGUGGCGAAGGCGACCACCUGGGCUAAUACUGACACUGAGGUGCGAAAGCGUGGGGAGCAAACAGG